AAUAUUGGACAAUGGGGGCAACCCUGAUCCAGCCAUGCCGCGUGUGCGAAGAAGGUCNNNGGUUUNUNAAGUAGUUUAAGUUGNGANNACGGGCUUUAGGAUAAUACCCUGAAGUUUUGACGUUACCAACUGAAUACGCAUCGGCUAACUCUCUGCCAGCAGCCGCGGUAAUACAGAGGGUGCAAGCGUUAAUCGGAAUUAAUGGGCGUAAAGAGCACGUAGGUGUUUCAGUAAGAUUGGUGUGAAAUCCCCGGGCUUAACCUGGGAACUGCUUUCAUAACUGCUGAGCUAGAGUACGGUAGAGGGUAGUGGAAUUUCCUGGGUAGUGGUGAAAUGCGUAGAUAUAGGAAGGAACACCAGUGGCGAAGGCGACUACCUGGACUGAUACUGACACUGAGGUGCGAAAGCGUGGGGAGCAAACAG
Molecule: ribosomal RNA, 423 nt
Filed under: uncultured bacterium
Lineage: Bacteria
Description: partial 16S ribosomal RNA
Rfam family: Bacterial small subunit ribosomal RNA
Source: RNAcentral